UACGGAGGGUGCGAGCGUUAUCCGGAAUUACUGGGUUUAAAGGGUGCGUAGGUGGCGCUGUAAGUCGGGUGUGAAAUUUCGGAGCUUAACUCCGAAACUGCAUUCGAUACUGCGGAGCUUGAGGACUGGAGAGGAGACUGGAAUUCAUGGUGUAGCAGUGAAAUGCGUAGAGAUCAUGAGGAAGACCAGUGGCGAAGGCGGGUCUCUGGGCAUUAACUGACGCUGAGGAGCGAAAGCAUGGGGAGCGAACAGG
This 253-nucleotide ribosomal RNA is filed under the name uncultured bacterium. Its description in RNAcentral is "partial 16S ribosomal RNA". It matches the Rfam family "Bacterial small subunit ribosomal RNA", at positions 524 to 776 of the family's 1533-position model. The record is from RNAcentral.